AGAGUUUGAUCCUGGCUCAGGAUGAACGCUAGCGGCAGGCUUAACACAUGCAAGUCGAGGGGCAGCGGGGAGGAAGCUUGCUUUCUCCGCCGGCGACCGGCGCACGGGUGAGUAACACGUAUGCAACCUGCCCCUGUCAGGGGGACAACCCGCCGAAAGGCGGGCUAAACCCGCGUACAUGCCACCGGGGCAUCCCGGAGGCAGGAAAGGCUUCGGCCGGACAGGGAUGGGCAUGCGGCGCAUUAGGCAGUAGGCGGGGUAACGGCCCACCUAACCGACGAUGCGUAGGGGUUCUGAGAGGAAGGUCCCCCACACUGGUACUGAGACACGGACCAGACUCCUACGGGAGGCAGCAGUGAGGAAUAUUGGUCAAUGGUCGGGAGACUGAACCAGCCAAGCCGCGUGAGGGAUGAAGGUACAGAGUAUCGUAAACCUCUUUUGUCAGGGAACAAAGGCGGGGACGCGUCCCCGGAUGAGUGUACCUGAAGAAAAAGCAUCGGCUAACUCCGUGCCAGCAGCCGCGGUAAUACGGAGGAUGCGAGCGUUAUCCGGAUUUAUUGGGUUUAAAGGGUGCGCAGGCGGUCUGUUAAGUCAGCGGUCAAAGCCCGGGGCUCAACCCCGGCCCGCCGUUGAAACUGGCAGUCUCGAGUUGGAGAGAAGUAUGCGGAAUGCGCGGUGUAGCGGUGAAAUGCAUAGAUAUCGCGCAGAACUCCGAUUGCGAAGGCAGCAUGCCGGCUCCACACUGACGCUGAGGCACGAAAGCGUGGGUAUCGAACAGGAUUAGAUACCCUGGUAGUCCACGCAGUAAACGAUGAAUGCUGGCUGUCCGGGGGGACUGACCCCUGGGUGGCGAAGCGAAAGCGAUAAGCAUUCCACCUGGGGAGUACGCCGGCAACGGUGAAACUCAAAGGAAUUGACGGGGGCCCGCACAAGCGGAGGAACAUGUGGUUUAAUUCGAUGAUACGCGAGGAACCUUACCCGGGCUCAAACGGGGAGUGACUCAGGCAGAGACGCCUGUUUCCCACGGGACACUCCCCGAGGUGCUGCAUGGUUGUCGUCAGCUCGUGCCGUGAGGUGUCGGCUUAAGUGCCAUGACGAGCGCAACCCCCGCGUGCAGUUGCUAACAGAUAACGCUGAGGACUCUGCACGGACUGCCGGCGCAAGCCGCGAGGAAGGCGGGGAUGACGUCAAAUCAGCACGGCCCUUACGUCCGGGGCGACACACGUGUUACAAUGGGUGGUACAGCGGGAAGCCAGGCGGCGACGCCGAGCGGAACCCGAAAUCCACUCUCAGUUCGGAUCGGAGUCUGCAACCCGACUCCGUGAAGCUGGAUUCGCUAGUAAUCGCGCAUCAGCCAUGGCGCGGUGAAUACGUUCCCGGGCCUUGCACACACCGCCCGUCAAG
This 1404-nucleotide ribosomal RNA is filed under the name uncultured bacterium. Its description in RNAcentral is "partial 16S ribosomal RNA". It matches the Rfam family "Bacterial small subunit ribosomal RNA". The record is from RNAcentral.